Molecule: ribosomal RNA, 213 nt
Filed under: uncultured bacterium
Lineage: Bacteria
Description: partial 16S ribosomal RNA
Rfam family: Bacterial small subunit ribosomal RNA
Source: RNAcentral
UACGGAGGGUGCGAGCGUUGUCCGGAAUCACUGGGCGUAAAGGGCGCGUAGGUGGCGCGGGAAGUCAACGGUGAAAGUUCGGGGCUCAACCCUGAAUCGGCCGUCGAUACUCCCGGGCUCGAGCACUGUAGAGGCAGAUGGAAUCCGGGUGUAGCGGUGGAAUGCGUAGAGAUCCGGAAGACACCGGUGGCGGAAGGCGGUCUGCUGGGCGAG